Molecule: long non-coding RNA, 1837 nt
Organism: Nerophis ophidion (straightnose pipefish)
Lineage: Eukaryota; Metazoa; Chordata; Actinopteri; Syngnathiformes; Syngnathidae
Exons: 3
Source: RefSeq, a predicted model, not a curated record
CUUAAUAGUAGCAUGGCUAACUUCCUAACAGCUUGGCUAACUUCCUGGCAGCUUGGCUAACUUUCUAGUAGCUGGACUAACUUCCAGUUAGCAUGGCCAACUUCCUGGUAGCUUGGCUAACUUCCUAAUAGCAUGGCAAAAUUCAUAGUAGCAUGGCUAACUUCCUAGUACCAUGGCUAACUUCCUGGUAGCUUGGCUAACUUUCUGGGAGCCUGUCUAACUUCCUAGUAGCAUGGCUAACUCUCUGGUAACAUGGCUAACUUCCUGGUGGCUUGGCUAACUUUCUGGUAGCCGGACUAACUUUCUAGUAGCAUGAUUAACUUCCUGGUAGCAUGGUUACCUUCCUGGUAGGUUAGCUAACUUUCUGGUAGUCGGACUAACUUCCUGGUAGCAUGGCUAACUUCCUAGUAGCAUGGUUACCUUCCUGAUAGCUUGGCUAACUUCCUGGUAGCUUGGCCAGCUUCCUGGCAGCCAGGCUAACUUAUUUGUAGCAUGGCUAAAUUCUGUUUGGUUCUUUGAACUUUCCUGUCAUAAAGUGGCUUUUGGGUUUUUUGUAUAAAUUUGGUAGUUUUUUUGAUCCUGCAGCAUUUUUAUGUUGUUUGCGUAUGUAUCAUUUAUGCACGUUUGUCCUCGUCGCAUACCAUAAGACACAACACUAUCGCCAUAGCAACUCUUGCUCUUCGCCGGCUUUACCUGGACAAUUAGGAACAUCGCAGACGAAGGACGUAGACCCCGCCCCUCUGCCACAGGCCAGACACAUGUCUGAUGACGAGGCCAGCAGGUCAGACAGGUAAGCUCCUCCCCUUGGUAGCCUGGCGUACACAAUGGUGCUCAUCAUUUCCCUGCAGCCAAACAUCCAGACGUGACCGAGGACUCACCUCAGCAACAGCGCAGCAAGAUGGCGGCGUAGCUGCUCUUCAUGCGCCUGCUUCUUGGGCCUCACCCUCACUAGCGCCCUUCCCGUCGCCCUCCUAUUGUCCAUGAUCAGCUGGCGCAGGAAUUUGACACGCUCCUGUAAAAACAGGAGGGAAUACCAACGCUGAUCGGGAACCGAGUCCAGAACCAGCAGGUGUCAAACGAGCGUGUACAUACCAGCUCGGUCUCAGGAUAGAGAUAAGCGCACAUGAGUCGUCGGGCGCGCUGCACAGGUCCUCCGACGAGCGACACCAGCAGGGCCAGACCUAAAAGGAAGCCUGAGACCAAAAAGGCGGCGUAUCAGAACUGGACCAUGGCACCAAGCUGAUGUCACGUCCUGCAGCGCCCCUACCUAAGGACGUUGAAUGACGCCACCACGUCCCGCAUGAUGUCCGCCAUAUAACCCGACCCGUUAACCUGCACCGCCACGGAGACCGGAGCUGUGGGACAGAGGGACACGGUCGCCGUGGUUACCUCAGUCACGACAGCACCGACGACCAUCGCUCACCUUGACCCAGGACGUCGCUCUGGACCUGGCGGUGCACCUGGUCCAGGAGCCAAAAGACCAGGAAGUCCAGCGCCACCAGCAGGCCGGCCGCCAACGCGUGCCUCAGCACCCAGGCCCCGCCCACCAGGGCCACCCGCCACUCACGGCUCGUUAGUCGCAACGACACUGCGGUAAAAGACGCCUCAUGGUCACUCGGUUCCGUCAAACGCGGAACUGACGCUGACCUGCGCAUGUACUCACGCGGCGUGAUGAACAUGGUCGACUCUCUGCGAGUGAUCGGCAAGACGGAAGCCCCGCCCCCAGCGGUCACCUGACGGUCCAGCUCUACAAACUGAGCGCUGAUGUAUAUGUUGUCAAAACUCAUCAGACUCAAGUAUCUGCGUCUGUACUGCACGGCCCUGCGCACACACACAC